Molecule: transfer RNA, 61 nt
Filed under: Euspilotus scissus
Lineage: Eukaryota; Metazoa; Arthropoda; Insecta; Coleoptera; Histeridae
Description: tRNA-Pro
Source: RNAcentral
CAGAGGUUAGUUUAUUUAAAAUAUUAAUUUUGGAGAUUAAUGAUGGGAUUCCCACCUCUGA